CAUGCACCGUGUGAUGGAUGGAGCUCAGCGAUACUGAAAGAUAAUGAUACUUUAGAAGCUACGGAGCCAGGAAGUGUCUCUCGGCCGGAACUAAUCCUGGUCACAUUGCUACACAAAUGUCCUGGCGACUCCCCAUCAGUUCCAUUUGUCUUUCCAAACUUCCAGACGAACCAUUUAUCUCUGUACUUGUCACUUAGGAUUCUCUCCACGGAGGAAAAGUGUUUGGAAGAGCUGGGAGGAAACAGAAUGACAUUUUUCUAAGUGUCUUCUGUCCGGAGACAAGGAGCUUCCCCUUAUACCUCAUAUGACAAUUGACCUGACAACAUGGAGCAGGUAUAGAAGGAGAAAAUACACUGAGAGCAACUGACCAGGAGAACCUAGGAAUCAACCAGUUAGAAAGCUUUGAGAAUCCCAGUCAGAUGAGGGAGGUCCUUCCCGGGUGAACAGAGCACAUUCUGAGGCCAUGGUCUCAGGGAGGUACAGUGGGAGGCCGCCCAACCCCCUCUCUCAGCUCUGCUCCCUUCUGAAGCCUGAUCAAUAAGAGUGUCACAGAGCACUUUUCUAAGAAGGCCAUGAUCUGUGAUUCAGGAAAAAGAGGGAGCCCUUCAAGGCAAGUCGAUACCCCAAUUUCCUAGUGACUGGCUUUGCUCCCUGGAGUGGGCAUGCUCAAGAUCCAGUUUGAGGUCCCUAUCUGAAGCUUACUCUCAAACUGCCUGAUUUUAACUCUUCACCAUUUGAGGCAAAAUCAUUACAUGAGUUGAUGUUAAUGGGCAGGAAACGAGGCCCCUAAUUUUUGCUAAAUGAAAUAUUAUUUCUCCCGCGCCUUCCCAUAUUACCAGCAGUCGCCUUCGCUUAUGUGGGGAAAAAAACCCCAAAGAACAUUUAACCUCAGUCCUGACAGCUCAGUAUGACAGCUGCCACUGUCUUGUGGGAUCUUACUUGAUGCCCUCCUUUAUUUACAAGGCAAAUAAUCCCAGAAUUUCCCUCUCCACUGAGCAUUUGGAAGAACCGCCCUGUAGCAAUGUAGGACCAGAUGGGUGGUGUCUGGUCGGGCCUCACUCUAACCUACCACUCUCUCAACUCUCUGCUGAGCCUGCCUCUACUUCCUGAUGCCUGAAGCCCUGUUCUUUCUAUAUCACCAUUCGCUAAGCAGCAAGAGCUUGGAGACUGGUUUGUUUUGUUUUGUUUUGUUUUUCUUAUAUAUAAGUGGAGAAGGAAGUUCUUCUUUGAGUGGUAUUCUGACUAAUAAAGAGUGAGGUUAUAAC
This is a long non-coding RNA of Rattus norvegicus (Norway rat), 1265 nucleotides long. RefSeq lists it as uncharacterized. Lineage: Eukaryota; Metazoa; Chordata; Mammalia; Rodentia; Muridae. The transcript has 3 exons. The record is from RefSeq and is marked validated.